GCCGAAGUGGUGAAAUUGGUAGACACGCCAUCUUGAGGGGGUGGUGGGUGAAAACCCGUAUCGGUUCGAGUCCGAUCUUCGGCACCA
This 87-nucleotide transfer RNA is filed under the name Gammaproteobacteria bacterium. RNAcentral's name for it is "tRNA-Leu". It matches the Rfam family "tRNA". Rfam says of the family: Transfer RNA (tRNA) molecules are approximately 80 nucleotides in length. Their secondary structure includes four short double-helical elements and three loops (D, anti-codon, and T loops). Lineage: Bacteria; Pseudomonadati; Pseudomonadota; Gammaproteobacteria. The record is from RNAcentral.